This 339-nucleotide ribosomal RNA is filed under the name Triticum aestivum (bread wheat). Its description in RNAcentral is "partial small subunit ribosomal RNA". The record is from RNAcentral. Lineage: Eukaryota; Viridiplantae; Streptophyta; Magnoliopsida; Poales; Poaceae.
AUGAAUCAGGCAAGGCGAAUGCAAAAUUUGGAAGAACGCACGGAGGUUCGACCAACGCUACGGCCUACGGCCCGGCCUAGGAGAGACGAGUUACCUGCAGCAACCGCAAGCGACGACGGGCCAACGAACAAAGUAGCUACGGAUCAUGCAUCAAGCGAACCAAGACAAGACGCCUGGAUCGAUCACGCGGGGCCAGCCAUACCGCGGAGGGCGGCGGCGGCCUCGUCGGUGCAAGACUGCAGCAUCUGCGCGGCGAGGUUGAGGGCGGCGGUCGCGUGCGCGUGCUCGAGGACGACGAGGACGUCCACGUACGGGAGGCCGUGGUGGUCGAGGAGGUAG